RNAcentral lists this transfer RNA (21 nucleotides) under Lawsonia inermis (henna). RNAcentral's name for it is "partial tRNA-Phe". The record is from RNAcentral. Lineage: Eukaryota; Viridiplantae; Streptophyta; Magnoliopsida; Myrtales; Lythraceae.
AGAGGACUGAAAAUCCUCGUG